UCUUCAUUUCACACACUCUCUCGUCACUCUGACCGGUGAGAGAGCACGCGAAAUGAAGAGA
Molecule: microRNA precursor, 61 nt
Filed under: Pristionchus pacificus
Lineage: Eukaryota; Metazoa; Nematoda; Chromadorea; Rhabditida; Neodiplogasteridae
Description: mir-8364 microRNA precursor family
Rfam family: mir-8364 microRNA precursor family
Source: Rfam by way of RNAcentral